This 539-nucleotide long non-coding RNA is filed under the name Citrus sinensis (sweet orange). RNAcentral's name for it is "long non-coding RNA (CSIN_LNC000888)". The record is from RNAcentral. Lineage: Eukaryota; Viridiplantae; Streptophyta; Magnoliopsida; Sapindales; Rutaceae.
GUAAACUAGACUUUAAAACGAAUCACAAUAAACAAUAUAUAUGUUUGACUUCUAUGAAAAGCCUAUUUUGAUAUGUACAAAUAUAGAUUUAUAUGUCUCUGCUCAUGUGUUUAUAUGAUGUGUUAUUAAGUAUUGGGCGUGAUUAUGCACAUAGGCAUGUGUAUGUGUGAUGGUUCAUUGGCAUGAGCACGAAAAUGCAUUGAGUUUAUGAAUGAGAAAGUGGAUUUUAGCAAACAAAAUUUCUGUUUUAUGAGAUUUUGCAUUGGGGGCCACCUCUUGAAGUUGUGUGGGGGCCACCUCUUGAGGGACAGAACGCCGCAAAGUGCCACGCAUGGUGCAAAGUGCCACGCGCAGCACAAAGUGCUACAAUUGCAGAAUAUGUAUUUCAUUGAAAGAAAAUGAGAAAGUUUGAAAGCGAAAAAAAGAGAUUUUUAUGAAUUUGUUUUACAGUAUUUCCAAAAGAUCAUGGCAUAUCAUCUAUUGCAUUAUGUAUAAGUAUGUAUAUAUUUUCAUAUAAGAAAAACUAGUUUGCUUACUGG